UAAGUGAAAGCAAAUAAAUUGCACCUAGCUGUUAAUUAGGAGUAAGUCAUAAAGACUCACUUAU
RNAcentral lists this transfer RNA (64 nucleotides) under Placobdella lamothei. RNAcentral describes it as "transfer RNA Asparagine". Lineage: Eukaryota; Metazoa; Annelida; Clitellata; Rhynchobdellida; Glossiphoniidae. The record is from RNAcentral.